Molecule: ribosomal RNA, 208 nt
Filed under: uncultured bacterium
Lineage: Bacteria
Description: partial 16S ribosomal RNA
Rfam family: Bacterial small subunit ribosomal RNA
Source: RNAcentral
UGCGUAGGUGGCGCUGUAAGUGGGGUGUGAAAUCCCGGGGCUUAACCCCGGGACUGCAUUCCAUACUGCGGUGCUUGAGGACUGGAGAGGAGACUGGAAUUUACGGUGUAGCAGUGAAAUGCGUAGAGAUCGUAAGGAAGACCAGUGGCGAAGGCGGGUCUCUGGACAGUUCCUGACACUGAGGCACGAAGGCCAGGGGAGCAAACGG